GUCGAGCUGAGUGAUGAAAAGGACCAGCCCCGUGAAGGUCCAGGGGAGGUGUGUUCCAGGCGAAGAGACCAGCUGGAGCUAGUUGGAGGGAUGAGCAGCUGGCAGUGGGCGUCUGCAGGAAAACCAUUCUCUCUUCGAACAAUCUGAAGUCUCUGGAGUAUCGACAAGAUGCCUCUAGGCCUGUGCUGUCCAAGGCCGUAGCCACCUGUGGCCUUCCAACACUUGAAAAUGAAGCUGGUCAAAUUUGAAAAAUGCCAUUUGACUCGUAACAGACUUUGAAGGCUUCGUAUGAAAGAAAGAAAGUAAAAUAUUGCAGUAGUUUUUCUAUUGAUGAUACGCUGAAAGGAUCACACUUUGGACAUACUGGGUUAAAG
This 374-nucleotide long non-coding RNA is filed under the name Capra hircus (goat). Its description in RNAcentral is "lncRNA (ENSCHIG00010001177.1)". The record is from RNAcentral. Lineage: Eukaryota; Metazoa; Chordata; Mammalia; Artiodactyla; Bovidae.